GGGGAAGGGGAGGGGAGAAGGGAAUCUUUUUAUUCAGGCGAAGGCAAAAAAAAAAAUCUAUUAAAGAAAUUAAUUAAAAAGCGCAUCGCUUUUAUUUAUCUGUUGGUUUGGUUGUUGUUGUUGCUGUUGUUUUGCAGGGGUUUCUGUUGUCAGUGGCGCUCCGUAAUGAAAACAAAGGAUGUUUGACUAUAGGGGAGGAUUUCAGGGCCCGUUGUCGUAUGGCGGUGCUGGAGGUGGGGGGGAAUUUUUGCUGCUGCAAAUCUCCGCAGACCGUCUGUUGGGGAAAAAGCACCCGGAGUUCGACCAGAAUCUUCAGGGGAAAUAAUAAUACUAAUAAUAAAAUCUGGAUCGUAAAGGUGAAAGCUUUAUAUUUGGGGGAGAAAACCCAAAUCCUCACCCAACCCCCCCUCCCCCAGACCUCUCACUUUGGAAGAAACCACCCAAACCAUGAGGGCCGUCUCUGGGGCGUUGGAAAAAGGAUGUGGGAGCGAACCAGGUAACAGAGCUGCUCUCUUGGCAUGCAUUUCUGAUCGUUUUAUUGCCUCCUUUCACGAGAAAGUUCGGGGAAAGCAAAAGGACGACAACAACAAUAAAAAAAAGAAAAGAGAGAGAGGGAAAGAAGGG
RNAcentral lists this long non-coding RNA (624 nucleotides) under Chrysolophus pictus (golden pheasant). Its description in RNAcentral is "lncRNA (ENSCPIG00010009232.1)". Lineage: Eukaryota; Metazoa; Chordata; Aves; Galliformes; Phasianidae. The record is from RNAcentral.